CAAUAGCGUAUAUUAAAGUUGUUGCGGUUAAAAAGCUCGUAGUUGGAUUUCUGUUGAGGACGACCGGUCCGCCCUCUGGGUGAGUAUCUGGCUCGGCCUUGGCAUCUUCUUGGAGAACGUAACUGCACUUGACUGUGUGGUGCGGUAUCCAGGACUUUACUUGAGGAAAUUAGAGUGUUUCAAGCAGGCGUACGCCUUGAAUACAUUAGCAUGGAAUAAUGAGAUAGGACCUUGGUUCUAUUUUGUUGGUUUCUAACACUGAAGUAAUGAUUGAUAGGGAUAGUUGGGGGUGCUAGUAUUGGCCGGCCAGAGGUGAAAUUCUUGGAUUCGGUCAAGACUAACUUAUGCGAAAGCAUUCACCAAGGAUGUCUUCUUUAAUCAAGAACGAAAGUUGGGGGAUCGAAGACGAUUAGAUACCA
RNAcentral lists this ribosomal RNA (419 nucleotides) under uncultured eukaryote. RNAcentral's name for it is "bacterial SSU rRNA". It matches the Rfam family "Eukaryotic small subunit ribosomal RNA", at positions 592 to 1017 of the family's 1831-position model. The record is from RNAcentral.